Molecule: small nucleolar RNA, 138 nt
Organism: Zalophus californianus (California sea lion)
Lineage: Eukaryota; Metazoa; Chordata; Mammalia; Carnivora; Otariidae
Source: Ensembl
CAGGCUGUGAUGAUUGGCGCAGGGGUACGGACCUCAGCUGAAUCAUGGGAGCUGAAUGUCUGUGUUUCACCUUUGUCUUGCAUGUGGCAGGCUGCUGGUGAGCACUUACAUGAGACUCAUGCCUUAAAUCUGAGCCUG